Molecule: long non-coding RNA, 1594 nt
Organism: Xenopus laevis (African clawed frog)
Lineage: Eukaryota; Metazoa; Chordata; Amphibia; Anura; Pipidae
Exons: 3
Source: RefSeq, a predicted model, not a curated record
UGACACAGAGCUCGGGCUGCCAAAUAGCCCUGCUGCUGCUGCUGCUCUUGCUUCUAAUGCAUGGAGGGGAGCAUCGCUUUAUAUAUAUAUAUAUCAGCAGCCAAUGGACUUUGCAUUCGGCCAAAUAAAUCUUAUAGGACACAAAUGGCAGGGAAAGCUCUCUAAGAACAGCAGCACCAAGGCUUCCCCUUAUAUAUUAGUAUUUAUAAGUGGUCAUAGCUAUAUUAUACAUGCAAUGGGGAACAUAUAAAUGUACAUGUAUUGUACUGCACUCAUCAUACAUUUGCACACAGCUUCCCACGCCACAGGGCAGAUCAUGUUUCCACUUCAGCCACUGCUUGGAAUAUAGAGGCUAAAACAAGACUCUGGGGAGGAACAAAGCCUGCUCUGGACAUUCUCCUGCUGCAGGGAUAUCCACUGACAACCCCCUGAACUAAACACUAAGGAGAAGCAGGAGCGCAGAAUGAAGAAGGAUCGCUGGUGUUGGAGAAAUUAGCAGGCUGUACAAGCCAGAAAGCUACACGCAGUAAAUCGCUGGCUGCUGGUGGAACAUACACGUGGGGAGAACCAGCCUGAGCGUUUGUGGUCACUCUUCUUGGCACCGUCGCACUCCGGUGCUGCCCAAAUUACAUCACUUUCUCAGCCAAAAAAACGGAGGGUGUGAAGGGUAAGUGACAGAGCCUGACCCCAGCGCACACACAGACCUGUCAGAGUUUGUUGUACUCUGUGCUGAGUCCUGCCAAGAAAAUGGGAUAUUAAAAAUAAAAACAAAUAAUAAUUUACACGUUUGCCUUCAAUCAAUGCCAAUGUAAUAUGCGCAGCCUGGAAAUGUCAAGUGGUCUGGAACUGCAAGUGAAGAAGAAGGAGAAGAGCUAGCACUCUAGAGUUCAUAUCAUGAGUCCUCACUCUUCUGUUUCGGGGCAGUUGAACAAUUGAGGCCAAGCGAAAAGAACAAGGACAAUGGAUAAAGAACAUGGAGCUCAUGGUUUUGCGCAAUAACGCAAACUUCGCACAGACACAAACGCGCAAAAGUCGAAUUCUAAAUGAUCUAAUAGCUGUUUAUUUGGGUUAUUAUAUUGCUGUAAAAACCACAAACUCUACGGUAUAGUGUCUGGCACUCUUAGGGUUAACUUACAUUCUUUAAUAAAAAAAAAUUACAUUUUCAUUUCCCAUUUACAUCAAAUCAUCUUAAUCAUCCAGGAACUUUUUCUCAUAUUAACACGACCACCAGGCUUGCUCCAUGCAAAUGACUUUUUUUUCAGGGGAAAGUCAGAACUACAUUACCCUGUUCUUCCAUCUUUGCCCUCUCUUGGGGGAUGGGGGGAGUCUUUUUUAAAUGAACCGUUUUAAUGAGGUGCCCAGGUAUGGCCUCAAUAGUUUUCUAUGGGGGGGGGGGUUGCUAAGAUAUGUCUUAAAACCAGAGUGGAAAUUACAAUUAACUAGUAUUUUUUUCUGAAAAAUGCAAUUUUACAGAGUAUUAAACUAUAUUAUGGGUACAGUGUGAUCUGCUUCUUGUAUGUAUUGUGAUAGAUAGAUAGAUAGAUAGAUAGAUAGAUAGAUAGAUAGAUAGAUAGAUAGAUAGAUAGAUAGAUAG